This 233-nucleotide unclassified non-coding RNA is filed under the name Hevea brasiliensis (rubber tree). The record is from RNAcentral. Lineage: Eukaryota; Viridiplantae; Streptophyta; Magnoliopsida; Malpighiales; Euphorbiaceae.
AAAAAAAAAAAAAAAAAGAAAUACGAGGAACCAUCAAGAAAUCAAGGCAAGAACAUUAAAAAAAAAUUAUUGAAAUAAAGAGGAGAAAAAAAAUACCCAAAAUUGGAACCGAACGGCGAAUUUGAUGGAGAAGAAUACGCGGACUUUGUGUUGAAGAGAGAGAAGAAAAAGAAAAAGAAAUAAAUGAAGAACACACAGCUAGAUUCGCCUUAUUGGACACACAACACAACCAA